RNAcentral lists this ribosomal RNA (253 nucleotides) under uncultured bacterium. RNAcentral's name for it is "partial 16S ribosomal RNA". It matches the Rfam family "Bacterial small subunit ribosomal RNA", at positions 524 to 776 of the family's 1533-position model. The record is from RNAcentral.
UACGGAGGGUGCAAGCGUUAUCCGGAUUUACUGGGUUUAAAGGGUGCGUAGGUGGAUAAUUAAGUCAGUGGUGAAAUCUUCAGGCUUAACCUGGAAACUGCCAUUGAUACUAUUUAUCUUGAAUACUUUGGAGGUAAGCGGAAUAUGUCAUGUAGCGGUGAAAUGCUUAGAGAUGACAUAGAACACCUAUUGCGAAGGCAGCUUACUACGCCUAUAUUGACGCUGAGGCACGAAAGCGUGGGGAUCAAACAGG